AUGGGCGAAAGCCUGACGGAGCAACGCCGCGUGAGUGAUGAAGGUCUUCGGAUCGUAAAACUCUGUUAUUAGGGAAGAACAUAUGUGUAAGUAACUGUGCACAUCUUGACGGUACCUAAUCAGAAAGCCACGGCUAACUACGUGCCAGCAGCCGCGGUAAUACGUAGGUGGCAAGCGUUAUCCGGAAUUAUUGGGCGUAAAGCGCGCGUAGGCGGUUUUUUAAGUCUGAUGUGAAAGCCCACGGCUCAACCGUGGAGGGUCAUUGGAAACUGGAAAACUUGAGUGCAGAAGAGGAAAGUGGAAUUCCAUGUGUAGCGGUGAAAUGCGCAGAGAUAUGGAGGAACACCAGUGGCGAAGGCGACUUUCUGGUCUGUAACUGACGCUGAUGUGCGAAAGCGUGGGGAUCAAACAGGAUUAGAUACCCUGGUAGUCCACGCCGUAAACGAUGAGUGCUAAGUGUUAGGGGGUUUCCGCCCCUUAGUGCUGCAGCUAACGCA
This 497-nucleotide ribosomal RNA is filed under the name Staphylococcus aureus. RNAcentral's name for it is "bacterial SSU rRNA". It matches the Rfam family "Bacterial small subunit ribosomal RNA", at positions 371 to 859 of the family's 1533-position model. The record is from RNAcentral. Lineage: Bacteria; Bacillati; Bacillota; Bacilli; Caryophanales; Staphylococcaceae.